Molecule: ribosomal RNA, 432 nt
Filed under: uncultured bacterium
Lineage: Bacteria
Description: partial 16S ribosomal RNA
Rfam family: Bacterial small subunit ribosomal RNA
Source: RNAcentral
AACGAACGCUGGCGGCAUGCCUAACACAUGCAAGUCGAACGAGACCUUCGGGUCUAGUGGCGCACGGGUGCGUAACGCGUGGGAACCUGCCCUUAGGUUCGGAAUAACUCCCCGAAAGGGGUGCUAAUACCGGAUAAUGUCUUCGGACCAAAGAUUUAUCGCCUUUGGAUGGGCCCGCGUUGGAUUAGCUAGUUGGUAGGGUAAAAGCCUACCAAGGCGACGAUCCAUAGCUGGUCUGAGAGGAUGAUCAGCCACACUGGGACUGAGACACGGCCCAGACUCUUACGGGAGGCAGCAGUAGGGAAUAUUGGCAAUGGGCGAAAGCCUGAUCCAGCAAUGCCGCGUGAGUGAUGAAGGCCUUAGGGUUGUAAAGCUCUUUUACCCGGGAUGAUAAUGACAGUACCGGGAGAAUAAGCUCCGGCUAACUCCGUG